GUUGCUGUAGCUUAACUUUAAAGCAUAGCACUGAAAAUGCUAAAAUGGUACAACCCACCAACA
This 63-nucleotide transfer RNA is filed under the name Azemiops feae. RNAcentral's name for it is "tRNA-Phe". It matches the Rfam family "tRNA". Rfam says of the family: Transfer RNA (tRNA) molecules are approximately 80 nucleotides in length. Their secondary structure includes four short double-helical elements and three loops (D, anti-codon, and T loops). Further hydrogen bonds mediate the characteristic L-shaped molecular structure. tRNAs have two regions of fundamental functional importance: the anti-codon, which is responsible for specific mRNA codon recognition, and the 3' end, to which the tRNAs corresponding amino acid is attached (by aminoacyl-tRNA synthetases). tRNAs cope with the degeneracy of the genetic code in two manners: having more than one tRNA (with a specific anti-codon) for a particular amino acid; and 'wobble' base-pairing, i.e. permitting non-standard base-pairing at the 3rd anti-codon position. Lineage: Eukaryota; Metazoa; Chordata; Lepidosauria; Squamata; Viperidae. The record is from RNAcentral.